AGCGAACGCUGGCGGCAGGCCUAACACAUGCAAGUCGAACGGAUCCUUCGGGAUUAGUGGCGGACGGGUGAGUAACACGUGGGAACGUGCCUUUUGGUUCGGAACAACUCAGGGAAACUUGAGCUAAUACCGGAUAAGCCCUUCGGGGAAGGAUUAUCGCCAUUAGAGCGGCCCGCGUCUGAUUAGCUAGUUGGUGAGGUAAAGGCUCACCAAGGCUACGAUCAGUAGCUGGUCUGAGAGGAUGAUCAGCCACAUU
This 256-nucleotide ribosomal RNA is filed under the name uncultured bacterium. RNAcentral describes it as "partial 16S ribosomal RNA". It matches the Rfam family "Bacterial small subunit ribosomal RNA", at positions 29 to 314 of the family's 1533-position model. The record is from RNAcentral.